This 610-nucleotide ribosomal RNA is filed under the name Pseudetroplus maculatus (orange chromide). Its description in RNAcentral is "partial large subunit ribosomal RNA". It matches the Rfam family "Bacterial large subunit ribosomal RNA", at positions 1903 to 2635 of the family's 2925-position model. Lineage: Eukaryota; Metazoa; Chordata; Actinopteri; Cichliformes; Cichlidae. The record is from RNAcentral.
UGCCUGUGACCAUGAGUUUAACGGCCGCGGUAUUUUGACCGUGCAAAGGAAGCGCAAUCACUUGUCUUUUAAAUGAAGACCUGUAUGAAUGGCAUAACGAGGGCUUAACUGUCUCCCUUUUCCAGUCAAUGAAAUUGAUCUCCCCGUGCAGAAGCGGGGAUUAAAACAUAAGACGAGAAGACCCUAUGGAGCUUUAGACAAAGAGCAGACCAUGUUAAACACACCUAAAUAAAGGACAAAACCAAUUGGCCCCUGCCCUUAUGUCUUUGGUUGGGGCGACCGCGGGGAAACAAAAAACCCCCAUGUGGACUGAAGACAUUCCUCUUCACAACCAAGAGCCACAGCUCUAAGCAACAGAACAUCUGACCAACAAGAUCCGGCACUAAGCCGAUCAACGGACCGAGUUACCCUAGGGAUAACAGCGCAAUCUCCUUUUAGAGCCCCCAUCGACAAGGAGGUUUACGACCUCGAUGUUGGAUCAGGACAUCCUAAUGGUGCAGCCGCUAUUAAGGGUUCGUUUGUUCAACGAUUAAAGUCCUACAAGAUCUGAUUCCAGACCGGAGAUCACCUGUUUAUCAAAAACAUAUUCGUGAUCUGAUUUCAGACCGGA